Molecule: non-coding RNA, 72 nt
Organism: Phrynosoma platyrhinos (Desert horned lizard)
Lineage: Eukaryota; Metazoa; Chordata; Lepidosauria; Squamata; Phrynosomatidae
Source: the annotation of a GenBank genome assembly
GACAGCAUGGUGUAGUGGUUUGAGCGUUGGACUAGGACUCUGGAGACCAAGGUUCAAAUUCUACUUCAGCCA